UAAUUCAGCCUGAAUGUCUUUUAGAGGGUGGGCUUUUGUUGAUGAGGGAGGGGAAACCUUUUUUUUUCUGUAGACCUUUUUCAGAUAACACCAUCUGAGUCAUAACCAGCCUGGCAGUGUGAUGACGUAGAUGCAGAGGGAGCAGCUCCUUGGUUUCUCUUCAUAAGCAGAAGAGUUGCUUCAUUCCAUCUCGGAGCAGGAAACAGCAGACUGCUGUUGACAGAUAAGUGUAACUUGGAUCUGCAGUAUUGCAUGUUAGGGAUAGAUAAGUGCCUUUUUUCUCUUUUUCCAAAAAGACCUGUAGAGCUGUUGAAUGUUUGCAGCUGGCCCCUCUUAGGCAGUUCAGAAUUUUGAGUAGUUUUCCCAUCCAGCCUCUUAAAAAUUCCUAAGCCUUGCACCGAUGGGCUUUCAUGAUGGGAUAGCUAAUAGGCUUUUGCAUCGUAAACUUCAACACAAAAGCCUACAUGAUUAAUGCCUACUUUAAUUACAUUGCUUACAAGAUUAAGGAAUCUUUAUCUUGAAGACCCCAUGAAAGGGAUCAUUAUGUGCUGAAAAUUAGAUGUUCAUAUUGCUAAAAUUUAAAUGUGCUCCAAUGUACUUGUGCUUAAAAUCAUUAAAUUAUACAAAUUAAUAAAAUACUUCACUAGAGAAUGUAUGUAUUUAGAAGGCUGUCUCCUUAUUUAAAUAAAGUCUUGUUUGUUGUCUGUAGUUAGUGUGGGCAAUUUUGGGGGGAUGUUCUUCUCUAAUCUUUUCAGAAACUUGACUUCGAACACUUAAGUGGACCAGAUCAGGAUUUGAGCCAGAAGACCGAAAUUAACUUUAAGGCAGGAAAGACAAAUUUUAUUCUCCAUGCAGUGAUGAGCAUUUAAUAAUUGCAGGCCUGGCAUAGAGGCCGUCUAACUAAGGACUAAGUACCUUAGGCAGGUGGGAGAUGAUGGUCAGAGUAAAAGGUAACUACAUAUUUUGUUUCCAGAAAGUCAGGGGUCUAAUUUGACCAUGGCUAAACAUCUAGGGUAAGACACUUUUCCCCCACAUUUCCAAA
This 1042-nucleotide long non-coding RNA is filed under the name Mus musculus (house mouse). Its description in RNAcentral is "metastasis associated lung adenocarcinoma transcript 1 (non-coding RNA)". Lineage: Eukaryota; Metazoa; Chordata; Mammalia; Rodentia; Muridae. The record is from RNAcentral.